AAUGAACGCUGGCGGCGUGCUUUACACAUGCAAGUCGAGCGAGGCGUGUAGCAAUACACAGUCGAGCGGCGAACGGGUGAGUAACACGUGGAUUAUCUGCCCUGGAGGUGGGGAUAACCCGGGGAAACUCGGGCUAAUACCGCAUAUGACCGUGAGGUCAAAGGGGGGUCGCAAGACCUCUCGCCUUUGGAGGAGUCCGCGUCCGAUUAGCUAGUUGGUAGGGUAAUGGCCUACCAAGGCGACGAUCGGUAGCCGGCCUGAGAGGGUGAUCGGCCACACUGGAACUGAGACACGGUCCAGACUCCUACGGGAGCAGCAGUGGGGAAUUUGCGCAAUGGCUAACGCCUGACGCAGCAACGCCG
This 362-nucleotide ribosomal RNA is filed under the name uncultured bacterium. Its description in RNAcentral is "bacterial SSU rRNA". It matches the Rfam family "Bacterial small subunit ribosomal RNA", at positions 29 to 399 of the family's 1533-position model. The record is from RNAcentral.